AAGGAUUUAAGUUAAACAAACUAUUAACCUUCAAAGUUAAAAAUAUUUAUAAAAUUUAAACCUUA
This 65-nucleotide transfer RNA is filed under the name Sogatella kolophon. Its description in RNAcentral is "tRNA-Trp". Lineage: Eukaryota; Metazoa; Arthropoda; Insecta; Hemiptera; Delphacidae. The record is from RNAcentral.